This is a long non-coding RNA of Oncorhynchus tshawytscha (Chinook salmon), 453 nucleotides long. The record is from Ensembl. NCBI's taxonomy places the organism in Eukaryota, Metazoa, Chordata, Actinopteri, Salmoniformes, Salmonidae.
AUCAAGAUCACUUAUUUUGUCAUUAAACCGCACAUAAGGGCACGGCGCAGUCAAGGAGAAAAAGUAGGACAACCGUCUGGUAAGGUAGUACAGUAGCCCCCUGAAUGCUGCGGGUGAGCAUGCGUAGAAAGAUUGCAACCCAACAUGAAUCACAUCGCCGUCCAACAUUUGGAGCGAACAACAACGCACCGUUAUCAUCAGGUUUUGACUCGGCAUUCCACUGGCAUCUGUUGGAAAAUUUGCCUAUCACUUGUCCGCAGGCCCCAACCGAAGAAAAUGGACGGAGACCGGAAGGGAGUACCUGGACAAUAAGAAACACUCCUUUUCAUUUUCCGUUGCAAAGCUUCCUGCCCUAAUGAACAUGACCCAGCUAAGUCAGAAGGUAGAGAGUAGGGGCUGAGGUGAGGUCUGGAGUCGGCAGUACAACUAGACCAGACUUCGGCACGGUUGUGU